UACGGGGGGGGCAAGCGUUGUUCGGAAUUACUGGGCGUAAAGGGCUCGUAGGCGGCCAUCUAAGUCGGGCGUGAAAUCCCACGGCUCAACCGUGGAAGUGCACUCGAAACUGGAUGGCUAGAGUCCUGGAGAGGAAGGUGGAAUGCUUGGUGUAGAGGUGAAAUUCGUAGAUAUCAAGCGGAACACCGGUGGCGAAGGCGGCCUUCUGGACAGUGACUGACGCUGAGACGCGAAAGCGUGGGGAGCAAACAGG
RNAcentral lists this ribosomal RNA (253 nucleotides) under uncultured bacterium. RNAcentral describes it as "partial 16S ribosomal RNA". It matches the Rfam family "Bacterial small subunit ribosomal RNA", at positions 524 to 776 of the family's 1533-position model. The record is from RNAcentral.